CACCGCGGUUAUACGAGAGGCCCAAGUUGACAGACAACGGCGUAAAGAGUGGUUAGGGCAACCCCAAAACUAAAGUCGAACACCUUCAGAACUGUUAUACGUUCCCGAAGAUAAGAAGCUCUAUUACGAAAGUAACUUUACCUAUCCCGACCCCACGAAAGCUGUGACA
This 169-nucleotide ribosomal RNA is filed under the name Plectroglyphidodon imparipennis (brighteye damselfish). RNAcentral's name for it is "partial 12S rRNA". Lineage: Eukaryota; Metazoa; Chordata; Actinopteri; Pomacentridae. The record is from RNAcentral.